CUCAUUAUCUCAUUCUCUCUCUCCCACUUUCUCACUCUCAUUCUCUCACACUCUCGACCUACAUUUUUCCGAUGAUAAAAAGCAAUUUUUCAACAAGCUUAAAACAGUAAUUCGGUGAGCUUGAUUUUAAAAAUAGCCAAAGGUACGGCAACAUAAUCACCACAAGGUUCAAGCCAAGCACCUCAAUGCUACCACCAUGACCGAACAAUAUUAUGGAACUCGGUAAAUUUUAAGAUUAUUUUUUUUGUUCUUUUAAAUAUAUUUUUGUGUUUUUUUUAUAACUAUGAGUUAAAUGAGAAUUUGUCAAUACUAACGUACAUGAGAAUCAGUUUUUAGUUUUAGCUAAAAUUACAAUGGACAUUUUAGUAUUUCCUACUUCUACAAUUGCAUCCGAGUCCUUUUUUAGGGUCGUAAUAAAAGAUCAAGUCUUGCCCCAGACAUCGUAAAUAUAUUAGUUUGAAAUAAGAUUGGGAUCAAGUUACAAAAAGACAACAAAAAAGAAAAGAAGAUGACUCGGAAGAAAAGGAAGAUGUUUGGAUGAUAAUGGAUAUUUCAUCGGAAUUGGGCUGCCUGAACAAGAAUAUUUUUGUUUUGUAUUUGUAUAACUCGAAUAGUGGAUAGAUAGAAUAUUUUUGUUUUGUAUUUUUAAAUUUUGUUUGAUUGAUAUUUUGUUUUAAAGUAUAUGCGUUUUCUUCCAUCUUUCAGAGAGGAGUUCUCUCAAAUUAUUUGUAAUUUUUCCAAAAUUAAUAGAGGUAUCGUCCUCUUUUAUUUAUUACAUAAAAAAUUAAUAAAAACUAAUUAAUAUCCGUUUUAUUUAUUACAUAAUAAAUUUAUAAAACUAAUUAAUAUAUAGUUAUAUUCACAGUAUUUAAAGAAAAAUUGUAAAUCGCUCAACUCGCCCAACUCGUCUAGUUAUACGCGAGUAGAGCUAAUCCGGACUCGUCUCGCUUCAGCUCUUCUCGCCAAAAACUCGUCUCGGCUCGUCAAAUGCAUCAUGUCUGGCUACGUCUACUUUGAUGUUUGUUUAUAUCUGGUCUCGAAACGAUCCGAGGCUGAACUUUUAAAACUCAGUUGGAUAUCAAACAAGAAUUUCUACUAAUCUGAAAGACGACAUGAAACUCGAAAUCAAAGUGUUACUAAUUUUUCUCUCCUUGAUUUAGCCUCUUGUUGGACAUUUAUAAUCAAUUUGUGAGUUCUUGUUCGGCCUUAAUAUUGAUCUUCUCCUUGUAUUUUUGAAUAGUAUGUCUUUGUAUGUCAAAUCUGAAGACAAAGGGGAUAUUUUCAAUCAAAACUUGACGGUAAAAACUAGCAGCUUUUUCGUGCUAAGUUUUCAUAGGACUAGACACAAAUUGACAUGGCUAUUAUGUCAAACUGGAUUAUAGGUUGAUAAAUGAGCAAAAAAGAAUAUAUUGAAUGGCCUUACUAGCUAACUGAAAAAACCAGAUUGCAAUAAGUUGCGGUACAAGCUACAAACCAAACUACUAGCAAUACUUAAGAAUCUUUUUCUCAAUACAUCAAAUAUAGAGACUUGGAUUCUGAUUUAUGCAUCUGAAACAACAAACUGAAGCAUGCAUAUCGAUGAUCUCCGUCUUCCUUUCCGUUCCCUGAAUCUAAAAUAGGCAGCAACAUCGCUGCAAAAGGAUAAACACAGAUCAAACAUAUGAAUUAGAGGUUCAUUUAAAAGUUUAUUGUACAACUUAAGCACUUGUUAACACAUACUCAUAGUACUAUAGUAGUAUACUCCCUCUGUCCCAACUAUUUUUUUUACAGUUUCCUUUUUGGGAUGUGCCCAAACCAAAUGUAAAGAAUUGACUAGGACGGAGGGAGUACAAAUUAAUGAUAUAUAUAUUACAUGUUUCGAGCUGGACUGCAAAAUAUGAAUCGAAUUGGAAUAAUACCUUUGAUCUGGUAUCUUUGGUCUGAGUGUUUGGCAUAUUGGCAGGUUGAUUAGGAACUAUAGGAAAUUUGGAGGCUGCUAUUUGUUUCUCUUCUUUGACUUUAUUGAAAAUUACAGUGAAUCCGUCUCCUGAUGUAGGGUCUCGUUCAUCCCAUUGCCCGAACAUGGGUACUGAUGCUGAUCUAGUGGACUGGAUUCCGGAAAAAAGUUUAAAGAUUAAAAGGAAUGAAAAUAGAUAAUCAACAAGAAGAAGUCUGGCUCUGUUGUUAAAAUUUGAACAAGUUAAAAAGAGAAGGGAAUUUUUGCUUACAAAAUCAUCGUACAGAUUAUGUCCGUUUCUCAGUCUGUUAGGCCCUGGCGAAGGAGGAUAGAAACUAAUAUUGUCAAUGCUGUUUUUCUUCCUUUCAGUUCUUGCAAUCCGGUGAUUGGAUGGAAGGCUUGAAUUAGAAUUGCUUCUGUCACUGCUAGUUUCCGACGUAACACUCUUCACACCAUUCUUAUAAUUUUGACCACUACCACUACUACUUCUCUUAAGGCUCCCUUUGUUUCCUUCACUGUGGUGAUUUUCCUUUGGUGCCUCUAUAUCAUUACUAAUGUUGUGUUGAAGAGGAGCCUGGAAGACUUUAACGUCAUCGUCACUUCCAAACAUAAAGGCCUCCGGAUUCUGCUCUGGAUCAUUUGGAUUGAUCAUUGCACCUCCAGCUUUGCUCUUGCGUGCACUAUCAAAGUAAGCUGUGUACGGUACAUUAUCUUCGCCACCCCAGUUGCCAAAUUUCGGAACAUGGGCACUUUUCUGAACAGGCAACCAAAUUCAAAAUCUAUUAGACUUUCAAAUUAUUGAGACAAAAUUAAAUAGUUCACAGGGAUUUAUCUAAUGCAGCCAAUAAUAUGCAAAAUACUAGCGAAAAAAGAUUUAAAUUCAAGAAUAACCAGGUGAAGUGUGUUCUGAGUCAUUCAUAUCGAGAAAUAAACAUGCGAUCAAGCUAUUUUAAUAAAUAGUGAAGAGCCUGUACGCGUAAACUAAUGAAUAAGGCUAUCGAUGAAGAGAAAACUUACAGCCAUUGCAGAGAAAAGUUCUAGUCUUUCUGAAACAAACUAUGAGCAUGAAAGUUGAAGAAAGAACAUGCAGGAAAUCUAAUCGGUGAAGUUCGAUUAUAUCAGAGAUCCCAAUGAAUCGAUGAUAGCAACGUUCUGGAGAAUGAACACUAGCUAACAAACACAGAAGUAACAGAACAAAAAAUAGCAUUUUCUCUUUUCUCUUUGUCUAACAUGAAAAAAUAUUCUAUCUGGAGUAUAUUAAAAGUCUAGGAUCUGCCAUUUGUUUUGCAUUUUGUCACUCCCUG
This 3240-nucleotide long non-coding RNA is filed under the name Daucus carota (carrot). Its description in RNAcentral is "long non-coding RNA (DCAR_LNC000893)". Lineage: Eukaryota; Viridiplantae; Streptophyta; Magnoliopsida; Apiales; Apiaceae. The record is from RNAcentral.